CCUCAACCUUGGGUUGUCCCGGUGGCCUCUGUCACCGGCUGGAUCGCUGGUCAUGAGUAGGCCCUCAACAUGACUUCCUCUGUGGCAGGUGGCUUGCGGGAUGAGGACCUCACCGGGAUCCACUGCGCGACGGCCAGCACCUCCGCCGUCUGCUCGGCCAUCUACUCCGGAUCUGAGCGCGGAGGAUUGUGGAGGAAGUGGAAGCCCAGCCGCAUAGCAGUUGGACUGGAGCGGCAAACGUGGUGAAUCUCGGGUUUCCUCCCGUCGCCGUAUCUUCCCGUUGUGCUCGAGAUCGAUUCUCGGCGGCAACACAAGAGGAACAUUCUUGGCUGUCCGUGAGUGGCCUGGAUGAUGACCUCAACGGGCAGCGCUCAGGCCUCCCUCCCCUCGCUACUCUCUCUCCGAUGGAAGCCAGUCCUUGCCGCGCCAUGGUCGCCUCUAACGGCAUCGGUUCUUCCACCACUACAACUGUCGUGGCUCCACCCUCCGUGCAGGGCAUCAGGAGGGUAUGAGGCCAUGUCUCAAGCUCGCUGUUGCUCCCUGUGACGGGCGUUGACUCUGACAUGAGGACGAAGGUCACGGACUCCAGAUCGGAGAGAGGAUGCCAUGGUUGACUGGCGACCUUGCAAAUGGCCUGGCUGUGUGUUCUUGCUCUACGUGAUAUCUGCUAUGCUACAUUGAUCUGCUGAGCUUUGUUUCCUUCGUGUCUGCACCUUUUAGUGUUUCUAGCAUCUGGAAACUUAGCUUGGUGAUUUCAGACUUGGAUAGAAAGUCUUGCUACUAAUACUCUGGCAGUUGCAUCAGGGUAGUCUGGGGUUCACCUCUCCAUCAUCAACAGGGGGCGAGGUGGCAUUGUUGAUAUUCCGUGUUGCAGAGUUCUCCAAGGUUUCCACCCAAUUGUCUAAGACAAAAGAAUUCUUAGGAAUAUAUAUAUAUCACUGAAUGCCACCGAAGAGAAGUAUCGAAUGAGCCUGGUCUGUCAGUUUCAUCAUUGGGCAUGCUACUUUUUUCUGUAUUUUUGGAUGAUAUUUACCCAGGACUGAUUGUUUGGCCAUGCGGUAUUUGCUCGCUUUAACAGCAUGGGAAUUUCACUGUGCUACCUGCCUAUUUCUUCAACUGUAAGUUUUAUGAAAGUAUGCUCAUCAUGGGAAGCUAGAGCUUUGACUGCUUCCUUAUUUUAAAUUGUACUAUAAGAUUUCACAUAGAUGAUACGGGACUACAUGUUUAACUUCUUCCUUGGUACUUUAGUUUUGGUCUUUAGGGCUAUAAGGAGAUCAAUUAUUACUUCAAAUUUUGAAGUGGUGUGGAUAUACUAUAGAUAGAUAUAUAGCAGUAUGACAGUACCUAUGAGCGUGAUAUGUUCAUUUCGGAACUGUUUCGUAAUCUAGGCAUGGAUUUGUUUGGGAAUUGUACAUCCUAUUGGUUUGCUGUUAUCAUUUCCUUGGGUGCAUGUAUUCAGGAGAUUAAAAAUAUAGUUACUGGUGGCAUUUGGACUUUAUUUUUGCGAUUUAAAAUUUUAAGCAAUGCAUCUAUUACACAUUGGGUCUCAGAUUUCAAUUUGCUUCAGAAUCCAAAUGUGUUACUUACUCAAUCAUGUUUGUUACCCUUCUAACAGGUUCCAAACCAAUCACUUGGCGCAUGAUAUAUGGAAUGGAUGAUAGUUUCGGCUUUCUUUUACUUCUGAAUACACCAGUAGGCCUAAAUCCGGCCAAAGGACCAGCGGAAUUGGUUAUCUAAUUGCUCAAGUGAUACAUUGAAGAGAUUCGAUGCAAACAUUUUUCACCAUCCAGGUUUACAAUGUGAAAACAGUACGGUGAUGAUACACACCUGGGACAUGGAUGAGGUCCACAUGAAGUACUCUGAGAUAGAGAAAAAUGUGUGAUUUAAAAGGUUUGGACGAGUCAAUGAGGCGUUGUUUGCGAGUUAAAAUCUUCAUGAGGAAUUCUCAGGAAAAUUCCGAAUAUAGCAAAGUGGGAAAUUGUGCAUCUUGAAGAAUAAGAUUGGACGCUCAACCAUCCUUUCUGUUUACUUCUUAUUUGGAGUUUUGUCCAUUGUAAUGAUUCUUCUCCCCAGAUCCAAAAUUCUUUGGAUUCUGGGGACUGUAAAUUCCCGAUGUAGAAAGAACAUUAGCAGGGAAUAAUGGUUUGCUCACAAAAUAUGUCAUGUAUUGCAGGUUCGUGCAUAUUGUGGUUAACAAGAAGAUCUAUUGUAA
Long non-coding RNA from Lolium perenne, 2212 nucleotides. RefSeq lists it as uncharacterized. NCBI's taxonomy places the organism in Eukaryota, Viridiplantae, Streptophyta, Magnoliopsida, Poales, Poaceae. The record is from RefSeq and is a predicted model, not a curated record.